RNAcentral lists this ribosomal RNA (375 nucleotides) under uncultured eukaryote. RNAcentral describes it as "partial 18S ribosomal RNA". It matches the Rfam family "Eukaryotic small subunit ribosomal RNA", at positions 592 to 976 of the family's 1831-position model. The record is from RNAcentral.
CAAUAGCGUAUAUUUAAGUUGUUGCAGUUAAAAAGCUCGUAGUUGGAUUUCGGUUAAGAGCGACCGGUCCGCCGUUUGGUGUGCACUGGUUGGUUUUAACUUCCUGUAGAGGACGUGCUCUGGGUUUAACGACCUGGAAUCGGAGUCUACGUGGUUACUUUGAAAAAAUUAGAGUGUUCAAAGCGGGCUUACGCUUGAAUAUUUCAGCAUGGAAUAACACUAUAGGACUCCUGUCCUAUUUCGUUGGUCUCGGGACGGGAGUAAUGAUUAAGAGGAACAGUUGGGGGCAUUCGUAUUUCAUUGUCAGAGGUGAAAUUCUUGGAUUUAUGAAAGACGAACUUCUGCGAAAGCAUUUGCCAAGGAUGUUUUCAUUAA